UUUAAGGCUUUUUUAAAAGCCCCAAAACGUGGCUUUUAAGUUACCU
Non-coding RNA from Egretta garzetta (little egret), 46 nucleotides. NCBI's taxonomy places the organism in Eukaryota, Metazoa, Chordata, Aves, Pelecaniformes, Ardeidae. The record is from Rfam.